GGGGAUGCGGCGGCUCUGCUGGACCCAUCCGUAGGGCCUCUCUCAAGGGGAGCCAGAAAGUUCCCCCCACACCCUGAGAGAAGGGGCUUCGGGCUGUGUUGUCGAUGCUCCGAAAGAUAGUUUGAAAAACUACAGGAAGAAGGCCAUUCUGCCAUUUUUUGUAGCUGAAAAGAAGCUUCAGCAUUCAGGUCUAGCAGCAAAUUCUACUCAAGAAUGUAUGGUUCUCCAAAUCUGUUCUAACUCCUGUCCAUCCAUUGUCAGAAAAUAAGUAAGAUGUUUGAAUGUGCCUUCUGUGGCUCUCAUCUAUAUCCCAGCACUCAUCCUGCUAUUUUCAAAGAUUUGUGGUAA
Molecule: long non-coding RNA, 348 nt
Organism: Poecile atricapillus (Black-capped chickadee)
Lineage: Eukaryota; Metazoa; Chordata; Aves; Passeriformes; Paridae
Exons: 3
Source: RefSeq, a predicted model, not a curated record